AGGUGGCACCUCCUAGAAGAAAAUUCUUUCUCUAGCCUCGCAUGUCUCCUCUUCUUCUCUCUUGGAAGAAAUCUUUCUUCUCUCUCUUAUGUGGACACUUCUCUUCUCUCUUUGGAAGAAGCUUCUUGCAAUAGCUCUCAAAAAUCCCAAAAAAAUCUCCAAAGAAAAUCCCUCAAAAUCUCACAAACUCUCUUUGUUACCUCUCUCUAGAC
RNAcentral lists this long non-coding RNA (212 nucleotides) under Elaeis guineensis (African oil palm). Its description in RNAcentral is "long non-coding RNA (EGUI_LNC010182)". The record is from RNAcentral. Lineage: Eukaryota; Viridiplantae; Streptophyta; Magnoliopsida; Arecales; Arecaceae.